This 64-nucleotide transfer RNA is filed under the name Opisthoplatia orientalis. Its description in RNAcentral is "tRNA-Thr". It matches the Rfam family "tRNA". Rfam says of the family: Transfer RNA (tRNA) molecules are approximately 80 nucleotides in length. Their secondary structure includes four short double-helical elements and three loops (D, anti-codon, and T loops). Lineage: Eukaryota; Metazoa; Arthropoda; Insecta; Blattodea; Blaberidae. The record is from RNAcentral.
GUUUUAAUAAUUUAAUAAAAAUACUGGUCUUGUAAAUCAGAAAUAAGGGUUACCUUUUAAAACA